GAGUUUGAUCGUGGCUCAGGAUGAACGCUGGCGGCGUGCCUAAUACAUGCAAGUCGAGCGAACGGACGAGAAGCUUGCUUCUCUGAUGUUAGCGGCGGACGGGUGAGUAACACGUGGGUAACCUACCUAUAAGACUGGGAUAACUCCGGGAAACCGGGGCUAAUACCGGAUAACACAUGAAACCGCAUGGUUUCAUGAUGAAAGACGGUCUUGCUGUCACUUAUAGAUGGAUCCGCGCUGCAUUAGCUAGUUGGUAAGGUAACGGCUUACCAAGGCAACGAUGCAUAGCCGACCUGAGAGGGUGAUCGGCCACACUGGAACUGAGACACGGUCCAGACUCCUACGGGAGGCAGCAGUAGGGAAUCUUCCGCAAUGGGCGAAAGCCUGACGGAGCAACGCCGCGUGAGUGAUGAAGGUCUUCGGAUCGUAAAACUCUGUUAUUAGGGAAGAACAUAUGUGUAAGUAACUGUGCACAUCUUGACGGUACCUAAUCAGAAAGCCACGGCUAACUACG
RNAcentral lists this ribosomal RNA (514 nucleotides) under uncultured microorganism. Its description in RNAcentral is "bacterial SSU rRNA". It matches the Rfam family "Bacterial small subunit ribosomal RNA", at positions 9 to 505 of the family's 1533-position model. The record is from RNAcentral.